AGUAAAACAAGUGAAAUGCACAUCUGCUGCUGACCUUGCACUCAUAAGUACACCUUCAAACGCAACAAACAUGUCCCUCUUCUUCAUGAUAUCCACCAUGGCAUUAGAUUCACAAACAUAAUAUUAAUUUUUGCAGCAAUGCAAGGUUUACUAAACACACAUUUUGCUGUAUUGAUUUUCUUGGAUAAGAGAGAACGUGGGAGCCCCAUUCUUACCAAUUUUUUGGAUCAUCGCCUCGCCUAUCCUGCAACCUAGCAAGCAACCACAAAGGUAAUCAUGAAUUUAUAGCAACUAUAAUCGGUCAUGAGAAAACAAUAUAAGAAAUUGUCAUGUGCAAGCUCUCGGUUCUUUGCCAGGUUUUGGCGGGGACGGAGAAGCAUACCCAGAGAAAAUUUGUACCGCAUGUCAGCUCCUGGUUAGCACCGGUAUUGAAGGAAGCCCAGCCAUCUCGCGAGCGGCCUCCUUGGAACUUCGAUCUCCACUAACACUUCGACCCUGAGAAGCACAAAGAGCUGAAGAUGAUAUUAGUAGCACAAUCAUUUCUCAUCAUCCUUGCAUUUUGUAAGUACCGAGGUUCAGAAAUAAAUACAAUCACUCAUAAUUGAGAUGUAGCACGUUUCUAAACGACACUAAAAUAAACAGAAGUAAAAUAAGUAUGUGUAUGUGCAGAAUCAUCAGCAAUACUGUGAGACAUGGUAUAAUGCUAGAUAUUAGAUAUGAUAAAAAAGACCAUAGAUAAAAAAACACAGGAAAUCACUCAACAAAACUUGCAAAACAUGUUAGAUAAACAGAUUUGGCGUUCAUGUCUCGCAGCAAAUAUCGACAAAAUGGAGUUGCAGAAAGCACUCACAUUGCGCAUGAACACCAAAUCUGUUCUUGUGCACCACCUCCCUUCUGUUGAACAACCAUGACAUACCCCAUUUUUACAAAGGCAAAAUAAGAUCACAAUAACAGUGACAGAGGACUGAAGAAAACUCAAAAUGGGAUGUAUGUAAUGGAAAUGCUUGAACCUAUACUUGCAUAGUUAUAUUCAAUGCAUAUAAAAUAAAGCUAAUAAUGGCGAAAUCCAAAUGAAAAUGAUGUCUAUGUUUUAGAGGAGAAAGUGAGAAAAACCAGCUGGGCAUGGUAAAAUAUAUUAACCUGUAGCCUAGCAUUACUACCAAAGAAAAUGGAGCCACCGAUCAUGUCAAUGGAAACAUACAUAAAGUGUUUUACUUAUUUUCACGACUCAUUCUUCAUAUUUAUGUGCUUUCCAAAUAAAAGGUACAUUAAAGCCUUGUGUCUUAUGAAAUCAUCAUGACACUACACUUCACAAAGUUUUAUAUGAAUCACGGUGAUAAGGAACCAUCCAACCAUACGAAAAAGAUAUCAUCAAAGCAUGUGGAGAUAGCUACAUUGUUUUGUACUUUAAGAAGAGGGUUGCAUGAUUUGUCAGUAUGAAACAUAUGGAGGAACCAAUCUGGGGAAAUGUCCACCUGGUUAAGAAGAGAUACCUAGUUACUGGGAAUCAUCUAAUGAUCCAACCACCACCAGCCCUGACGAUGCUUUGCCCUUGCAAAGAAC
RNAcentral lists this long non-coding RNA (1563 nucleotides) under Triticum aestivum (bread wheat). RNAcentral describes it as "long non-coding RNA (TAES_LNC002946)". The record is from RNAcentral. Lineage: Eukaryota; Viridiplantae; Streptophyta; Magnoliopsida; Poales; Poaceae.